GGGCCAGACUCCUACGGGAGGCAGCAGUGGGGAAUAUUGGACAAUGGGGGGAACCCUGAUCCAGCGACGCCGCGUGAGUGAAGAAGUAUUUCGGUAUGUAAAGCUCUAUCAGCAGGGAAGAAAGGAAUGACGGUACCUGACUAAGAAGCCCCGGCUAACUACGUGCCAGCAGCCGCGGUAAUACGUAGGGGGCAAGCGUUAUCCGGAUUUAUUGGGUUUAAAGGGUGCGUAGGCGGUCCGGAAAGUCAGCGGAAAAAGCCCGGGGCCCACCCCCGGCGAGCCGUUGAAACUGUCGGACUAGAGACGGCGAGAAGUACGCGGAAUGCGCGGUGUAGCGGUGAAAUGCAUAGAUAUCGCGCAGAACUCCGAUUGCGAAGGCAGCGUACCGGCGCCGGACUGACGCUGAGGCACGAAAGCGUGGGCAUCGAACAGGAUUAGAUACCCGCGUACA
This 451-nucleotide ribosomal RNA is filed under the name uncultured bacterium. RNAcentral's name for it is "bacterial SSU rRNA". It matches the Rfam family "Bacterial small subunit ribosomal RNA", at positions 328 to 794 of the family's 1533-position model. The record is from RNAcentral.